Molecule: ribosomal RNA, 249 nt
Filed under: uncultured bacterium
Lineage: Bacteria
Description: partial 16S ribosomal RNA
Rfam family: Bacterial small subunit ribosomal RNA
Source: RNAcentral
UACAGAGGUGGCAAGCGUUGUUCGGAAUUACUGGGCGUAAAGGGCGAGUAGGCGGCCUUCUAAGUCAGACGUGAAAUCCCCCGGCUUAACCUGGGAACUGCGUCUGAUACUGGGAGGCUAGAGUAUGGGAGAGGAAGGUAGAAUUCCAGGUGUAGCGGUGAAAUGCGUAGAUAUCUGGAGGAAUACCGGUGGCGAAGGCGGCCUUCUGGACCAUAACUGACGCUGAUCCGCGAAAGCUAGGGGAGCAAA